UGGGGAAUUUUGGACAAUGGGGGAAACCCUGAUCCAGCCAUCCCGCGUGUGCGAUGAAGGCCUUCGGGUUGUAAAGCACUUUUGGCAGGAAAGAAACGUCAUGGGUUAAUACCCCGUGAAACUGACGGUACCUACAGAAUAAGCACCGGCUAACUACGUGCCAGCAGCCGCGGUAAUACGUAGGGUGCAAGCGUUAAUCGGAAUUACUGGGCGUAAAGCGUGCGCAGGCGGUUCGGAAAGAAAGAUGUGAAAUCCCAGAGCUCAACUUUGGAACUGCAUUUUUAACUACCGGGCUAGAGUGUGUCAGAGGGAGGUGGAAUUCCGCGUGUAGCAGUGAAAUGCGUAGAUAUGCGGAGGAACACCGAUGGCGAAGGCAGCCUCCUGGGAUAACACUGACGCUCAUGCACGAAAGCGUGGGGAGCAAACAGG
RNAcentral lists this ribosomal RNA (429 nucleotides) under Acidobacteriota bacterium. RNAcentral describes it as "Acidobacteria bacterium partial 16S ribosomal RNA". It matches the Rfam family "Bacterial small subunit ribosomal RNA", at positions 355 to 776 of the family's 1533-position model. The record is from RNAcentral. Lineage: Bacteria; Pseudomonadati; Acidobacteriota.